RNAcentral lists this ribosomal RNA (389 nucleotides) under uncultured bacterium. RNAcentral describes it as "bacterial SSU rRNA". It matches the Rfam family "Bacterial small subunit ribosomal RNA", at positions 32 to 414 of the family's 1533-position model. The record is from RNAcentral.
AAUCAACGCUGGCGGCGUGCCUCAGACAUGCAAGUCGAACGAUUAAACUUUCCUUCGGGAAAGAUAUAAAGUGGCGCACGGGUGAGUAACACGUAGGUAAUGUACCUUUGGGUGGGGAAUAACCAUCGGAAACGAUGGCUAAUACCGCAUAAUGCAGCGGCAUCGCAAGAUGACAGUUGUUAAAGAUUUAUCGCCUAAAGAGCAGCCUGCGGCAGAUUAGGAGUUGGUAAGGUAAUGGCUUACCAAGCCUGCGAUCUGUAACCGACCUGAGAGGGUGGUCGGUCACACUGACACUGAAUAACGGGUCAGACUCCUACGGGAGGCAGCAGUCGGGAAUUUUGGGCAAUGGGCGAAAGCCUGACCCAGCAACGCCGCGUGAAGGACGAAGU